GACGAACGCUGGCGGCGUGCCUAAUACAUGCAAGUAGAACGCUGAAGGAGGAGCUUGCUUCUCUGGAUGAGUUGCGAACGGGUGAGUAACGCGUAGGUAACCUGCCUGGUAGCGGGGGAUAACUAUUGGAAACGAUAGCUAAUACCGCAUAAGAGUAGAUGUUGCAUGACAUUUACUUAAAAGGUGCAAUUGCAUCACUACCAGAUGGACCUGCGUUGUAUUAGCUAGUUGGUGAGGUAACGGCUCACCAAGGCAACGAUACAUAGCCGACCUGAGAGGGUGAUCGGCCACACUGGGACUGAGACACGGCCCAGACGCCUACGGGAGGCAGCAGUAGGGAAUCUUCGGCAAUGGACGGAAGUCUGACCGAGCAACGCCGCGUGAGUGAAGAAGGUUUUCGGAUCGUAAAGCUCUGUUGUAAGAGAAGAACGAGUGUGAGAGUGGAAAGUUCACACUGUGACGGUAUCUUACCAGAAAGGGACGGCUAACUACGUG
This 495-nucleotide ribosomal RNA is filed under the name uncultured bacterium. RNAcentral describes it as "partial 16S ribosomal RNA". It matches the Rfam family "Bacterial small subunit ribosomal RNA", at positions 28 to 507 of the family's 1533-position model. The record is from RNAcentral.